Salmo salar (Atlantic salmon) is the source of this 1854-nucleotide non-coding RNA. The record is from RefSeq and is a predicted model, not a curated record. NCBI's taxonomy places the organism in Eukaryota, Metazoa, Chordata, Actinopteri, Salmoniformes, Salmonidae.
ACUCCCUCUUAUCAAUGUUUCAGUAGGCCUUCUCCCUCUUAUCAAUGUUUCAGUAGGCCUUCUCCCUCUUAUCAAUGUUCUUGAAGUUUAACACUUCCUCAUUUGCCACACACACUCAAGUACUGAAAGCUUCAGGCGUUCUCAAUGAGUGUUUUUCUGAUUGGAGUGUUGACUAUAAGGAAAAUAGAACUGUAUCCAUGGAGACAACGAGCUUUUUAAACCUGUCCAAUGUUAUGACUUCUACAGAAUACAUUAACAACCGAUCAGCCAGGCCUGAGGUCAUGUCAGAUAUAAUACAAGGUAUUAGAUGUAGCCUAGGAUACUGAUCCAUGUUCUUCAACAUCAACUAGUCACAAACUGCUAAUAGAAUUGGGAUACUUUUCUGAACUUAACCUGAAAAACUAAAAUAGUAACGUUAGGUAAAUGGAAUGGAUUUCCUGUUUUUGAUUAAAAUCAUUGUGGGAAGUUAGCUAACUAGUUGAUUCAAGAUACAAUCAGGCGUGGCAUUGUAAACAUUUAGUUUGGUUGGCUGGCUAGCUAGCGUUAGCAUAACUAGCUAACUGCUUUUGUACAAAUGAUGUUCUUGCUGUUACCUAAAGAAACGCCUGGGAAUGUGUUUAUGGUUGAACUUCAUGUCAGUUUUCCAGUUAGUGCACCACAAGAGGCCGACAGCGCUACUGAGACCGAGGUCACACGGACUGAGAGGGUGACCGGGCACAGAGCGUGUUGUGUGUUGCGGUUAAAACGGUCCGUGUGGAAACGGGCGCUCAAAAAGGGUCCGUGUGAUGAAGAAAUGGAGACAUGAUUAACGGUGUCCAAUUUUGUUUUUAAGGAAUUACAAAUGUCACGCGUUAUUAACGAGUUAACUUUGACAGCCCCAAGUUUUAAAACAUAAUGGGUUUCAUUUUCAAAUAGAAAAAGGUAGGGAAAUAUAUUAAGUGAUUUGAAGUUUGAAAUUAGUUUGGCUCAAUUUCAAGGACAAAACAAAUUUCAAGUUUUAUGUGUUUAACGUUUUUGGAAACGUUAGACUUUUUUGAUAACCUGGGAAAGUGGAGAGAGAAAUCCGGCCUUAGCUUUGGCACAUUUUGGGAGAGUGUUAUUUUAUUUGUACUACGGUGUUUUUCACCAAAGUUGACUGGUUUGAUAUUCUUUAUGUUGACUGCAUAUAUUUUCUAAACACAACCCUCCCCUUUUUUUCACUUUUAUAUAUUUGAUAUUUACAAAGGUUUUUGUAUGAAUUGGUUGUAUUUUGCUUGUGUGUAGUCACUAGCUGCUAAUGCUUUACCAACGAUAUUACAAACACACUGAAUAAUAAUAGAUAUGGUGUUGUGCCCAAGAGCAGCUGGUUAAGAACAAAAGUGGGAUGUUUUCAGAUUCUUGUGUUUUAACUUUUUAAUCUAGGAGACAUUUAUUUACAAGAAGAAUUGACAUGGUACUGAAGGAGCAGCUUUGAAAACCAAUAUAUUUUAAAAGCUUGAAGGACUUUUUUUUUUUAUGAUUCAAAACAUGUUUAUUUAUGGCUUCCUGCAUGAUGCUGUUUUUAUUUUUUAUACCCAGAUGUUUUUUUCUUUUCUAAAUGAUUUGUCUGUCUGACAUAUUGAAUAACCUGUUUUGAUGGGAAUAGGAAGCAUGAUGGAACUACUUGUUGAGUGGUUUAAUCUUGUAUCCGUCUGCGUCCCAAAUGGGACCCCCCCCACCACCACCACCAUAUAGUGCACUAUAUGAGCCCUGGUCAAAAGUAUUAGCAUUCCAUUUGGGACGUAGACUUUGACCCCUAUUCACACUGCCUAGGCAGUAGAGUAAUGUCCAAUACAUGUCAUGUUUCUGUUCAAUAAAUAAACUGAAAAUACUUCC